AUUGAACGCUGGCGGCAUGCCUUACACAUGCAAGUCGAACGGCAGCACGGGAGCUUGCUCCUGGUGGCGAGUGGCGAACGGGUGAGUAAUACAUCGGAACGUACCCUGAAGUGGGGGAUAACGUAGCGAAAGUUACGCUAAUACCGCAUAUUCUGUGAGCAGGAAAGAGGGGGAGUCGCAAGACCUCUUGCUUUAGGAGCGGCCGAUGUCGGAUUAGCUAGUUGGUGAGGUAAAGGCUCACCAAGGCGACGAUCCGUAGCGGGUCUGAGAGGAUGAUCCGCCACACUGGGACUGAGACACGGCCCAGACUCCUACGGGAGGCAGCAGUGGGGAAUUUUGGACAAUGGGCGCAAGCCUGAUCCAGCCAUGCCGCGUGAGUGAAGAAGGCC
RNAcentral lists this ribosomal RNA (389 nucleotides) under uncultured bacterium. RNAcentral's name for it is "bacterial SSU rRNA". It matches the Rfam family "Bacterial small subunit ribosomal RNA", at positions 30 to 416 of the family's 1533-position model. The record is from RNAcentral.